RNAcentral lists this ribosomal RNA (1109 nucleotides) under Clostridioides difficile. Its description in RNAcentral is "bacterial LSU rRNA". It matches the Rfam family "Bacterial large subunit ribosomal RNA", at positions 768 to 1895 of the family's 2925-position model. The record is from RNAcentral. Lineage: Bacteria; Bacillati; Bacillota; Clostridia; Peptostreptococcales; Peptostreptococcaceae.
GGAGGUCCGAACCCACGAGCGUUGAAAAGCUCGGGGAUGACUUGUGGGUAGCGGUGAAAUUCCAAUCGAGCCCGGAGAUAGCUGGUUCUCCCCGAAAUAGCUUUAGGGCUAGCCUCAAGGUGAGAGAUACGGAGGUAGAGCACUGAAUGUCCUAGGGGGUAUUGCACCUACCGAAGACUAUCAAACUCCGAAUGCCGUCAUCUUAUACUUGGGAGUCAGACUGUGGGUGAUAAGAUUCAUAGUCGAAAGGGCAACAGCCCAGAUCGUCAGCUAAGGUCCCUAAAUGUAAGUUAAGUGGUAAAGGAUGUGGGAUUGCACAGACAACCAGGAUGUUGGCUUAGAAGCAGCCACUCAUUCAAAGAGUGCGUAAUAGCUCACUGGUCGAGUGAUCCUGCGCCGAAGAUUUCCGGGGCUAAAACUUACUACCGAAGCUACGGCAUCAGUAAUGAUGGGUAGGGGAGCUUCCCAUACGGGUUGAAGCAUGACCGUAAGGACAUGUGGACAGUAUGGGAGUGAGAAUGUUGGCAUGAGUAGCGAGAUGUGGGUGAGAAUCCCACAGGCCGUAAACCCAAGGUUUCCAGGGGAAGGUUCGUCCGCCCUGGGUUAGUCGGGACCUAAGCUGAGGCCGAAAGGCGUAGGUGAUGGACAACAGGUUGAUAUUCCUGUACUACCGAUAACCGUUUGAGAGAAGGGAUGACACAGUAGGAUAAGCUAAGCACACUGUUGGUUAUGUGUGCCCAAGCAUUGAGGCAGUCAAAGUAGGCAAAUCCGCUUUGAUAAUGCUGGGAUGUGAUGGGGAGCGAAAUUUAGUAGCGAAGUAGCUGAUUUCACACUGUCAAGAAAAGUCUCUAUCGAGGUUAAAGGUACCCGUACCGCAAACCGACACAGGUGGGUGAGGAGAGUAUCCUAAGGCCAGCGAGAGAACUGUUGUUAAGGAACUCGGCAAAAUGACCCCGUAACUUAGGGAUAAGGGGUGCCACCAUCAGGUGGCCGCAGAGAAUAGGCCCAAGCGACUGUUUACCAAAAACAUAGGUUUCUGCUAAGUCGCAAGACGAUGUAUAGGAGCUGACGCCUGCCCGGUGCUGGAAGGUUAAGGGGAUCUGUUAGAG